CCUACGGGUGGCAGCAGUGAGGAAUAUUGGUCAAUGGGCGGAAGCCUGAACCAGCCAAGUAGCGUGCAGGAUGACGGCCCUACGGGUUGUAAACUGCUUUUAUACGGGAAUAACGCGCCUUACGUGUAGGGCUUUGCAUGUACCGUAUGAAUAAGGACCGGCUAAUUCCGUGCCAGCAGCCGCGGUAAUACGGAAGGUCCGGGCGUUAUCCGGAUUUAUUGGGUUUAAAGGGAGCGUAGGCGGCAUGUCAAGCGUGCUGUGAAAUGUCCGGGCUCAACCCGGGCCUUGCAGCGCGAACUGGCGUACUGGAGUGCGCGGAAAGCAGGCGGAAUUCGUGGUGUAGCGGUGAAAUGCUUAGAUAUGACGAAGAACCCCGAUUGCGAAGGCAGCUUGCUGCAGCGGAACUGACGCUGAUGCUCGAAAGCGCGGGUAUCGAACAGGAUUAGAUACCCCAGUAGUC
Molecule: ribosomal RNA, 460 nt
Filed under: uncultured bacterium
Lineage: Bacteria
Description: partial 16S ribosomal RNA
Rfam family: Bacterial small subunit ribosomal RNA
Source: RNAcentral